This 253-nucleotide ribosomal RNA is filed under the name uncultured bacterium. RNAcentral describes it as "partial 16S ribosomal RNA". It matches the Rfam family "Bacterial small subunit ribosomal RNA", at positions 524 to 776 of the family's 1533-position model. The record is from RNAcentral.
GACGAACCGUGCGACCGUUGUUCGGAAUCACUGGGCUUAAAGGGCGCGUAGGCGGGCUCACAAGUCAGGGGUGAAAUCCCACGGCUCAACCGUGGAAGUGCUUUUGAUACUGUGGGUCUUGAGGGAGGUAGGGGCGUGCGGAACUUCCGGUGGAGCGGUGAAAUGCGUAGAGAUCGGGAGGAACACCAGUGGCGAAGGCGGCUACCUGGACCAGCACUGACACUGAAGCACGAAAGCGUGGGGAGCAAACAGG